Choloepus hoffmanni (Hoffmann's two-fingered sloth) is the source of this 204-nucleotide small nucleolar RNA. Its record names the gene SNORA73. It matches the Rfam family "Small nucleolar RNA SNORA73 family". Rfam says of the family: U17 (SNORA73A and SNORA73B) also known as E1 belongs to the H/ACA class of small nucleolar RNAs (snoRNAs). Vertebrate U17 is intron-encoded and ranges in length from 200-230 nucleotides, longer than most snoRNAs. NCBI's taxonomy places the organism in Eukaryota, Metazoa, Chordata, Mammalia, Pilosa, Megalonychidae. The record is from Ensembl.
CCAAUGUGGAUACCCAGGGAAGUCACUCUCUUCAGGCUCUGUCCAGGUGGCACAGGGGAGCACAUGGCUCUGCUCAGCAAUAUAUAAUCCCACUCCAUGAUGCUGGAGAUGAAACUGGUCCCUGAGCAUGCACCUGCACAUUCACACAGCUUCUCAGAAUCAGGUAGACAAUGGCUGGGGAGAGAAGCAAUGCAAGAAAGAGCC